UGCUGAAACCGUCUUAUUGAAGCAUCUCAGUGGAAGCAGGUUUUGUUCUCUCUUCACAGCAAAAUUUCCAGUGUUGUUUAGUGUUGUUUUUAUGGUGUUAAUUUUCCAGUGUUGAAAAGUGUUAAUUGUGGUGUUGAUUUGAAGAACAUCAACACUUACAGUGUAAACCAGUGUUCAGAAUCAGUGUUAUUUCAGCGAGUUGACUAAUUGACACUGGAGAUGAGAUGAUCCUAUUUCCGUUUGGAUUAAUGGCGGACGAGUACGAGGAGCGGACAGUGCUCAAACAGACCGCGCUGACACGAGGCCAGUUUGCAAACUAAGCUGUCGUCAUGCCGGUGAAAGUUCAAUAUCAUGGUGCAUUCCAAGAUUUUCUAAAUGAAGUUAAGUGCUGUGGCUUUGACUAACUAAUUAAAGCCAGUCAUAUAGCAACUGUGCUUAAAAUCCACAGGGCUUGUUUCCAGCUUUGUUAUUUGAGUUUGAGAGAAAAAAAAAAAAAAAAGUCUAUUUAUGCUAUUGUUAAAAUUGUUUCAUUUAAAAGACAGACACUGAUGUGGAAGAGGACACAUUGAAGUCAUUAAAAUUUAAAAUUAAGAUGUCUGGUGGUAAUCCUGAUGGUAUUUGGUAUUUGAAACAAUGUAUUGUGGAAAAAAAAAAAAAAAAAAGCGCUACACAAAGGCAUUCUUUUAAGGUCUCCAUAAUAUGAUGGUGUAAAUGUUUUCUCUUAAGCCCUGUAUGAAUUAAGACGUUUAUGGACAUGAAACAUUAAAUUGUUUUACUUUUCACUCUUAGUCACACACAAGAUCCUCAACCUCCAGCACAUGUACUCAUUCUUUGUCUGACCAUAAAGAGACAGCAGUGCAAAACCAGCUAACAAAGGCCAGCAACAGAUUUAGCACAGAUGUUAUGGCAAACAGAUUGUCCAUGACGCCCUGAAAAAAUAAUCCAGUGACGAGAAAGAAGACUACGAUAAGACAGACUUGUGCACUUCCACAAGUCCUGCACCUGCACCAGUAUUGAAGGCCAUCUCAGUUGGAGGGAGGACCACCAGCCAUUCCUACUGGUAUUGAGAAGGAUCAAGGGCAGGAUCGACAAAUUCUUUGUGGUUGAAGCACCUCAUCUCUUCUGAAGGAACCAGCUCCUUGAAUGCUAUCGAACUUUAAGUCUACUGUUUCUACCUGCUGUAUAUGUAGGUCCUUUAUCUUUAUCUUCCUGCUACACUCUACAACACUGAUGUUGGUCUUACCAGUGAGUCUCCCAAAGUAAAGGAAUUGCAUGUGAAGCAUUGACAAACUUUUGACAACAUUUUUUCGGAGCAUCAUGUAUUUAAAGUACAGAUAUUGGAAGCAGAGUACGUUUAACUGCUAACAUUUUGAAGUUGAAGUUUGGAGUUCACAUGGGUGAAUUUGAUGAUGAAUUUGUUUCAACUGUUAUGUCUAAGACGUAUCAUUGUUGAAAAUAAAGGUUCAAACUGAUACAAUGAAAUUGGCUGUUAUUUA
This is a long non-coding RNA of Ctenopharyngodon idella (grass carp), 1496 nucleotides long. RefSeq lists it as uncharacterized. NCBI's taxonomy places the organism in Eukaryota, Metazoa, Chordata, Actinopteri, Cypriniformes, Xenocyprididae. The transcript has 5 exons. The record is from RefSeq and is a predicted model, not a curated record.